This 397-nucleotide ribosomal RNA is filed under the name uncultured bacterium. RNAcentral's name for it is "partial 16S ribosomal RNA". It matches the Rfam family "Bacterial small subunit ribosomal RNA", at positions 523 to 918 of the family's 1533-position model. The record is from RNAcentral.
AUACGUAGGGGGCGAGCGUUGUCCGGAAUGAUUGGGCGUAAAGGGCGCGUAGGCGGCCCGGUAAGUCUGGAGUGAAAGUCCUGUUUUUAAGAUGGGAAUUGCUUUGGAUACUGUCGGGCUUGAGUGCAGGAGAGGUAAGUGGAAUUCCCAGUGUAGCGGUGAAAUGCGUAGAGAUUGGGAGGAACACCAGUGGCGAAGGCGACUUACUGGACUGUAACUUACGCUGAGGCGCGAAAGUGUGGGGAGCAAACAGGAUUAGAUACCCUGGUAGUCCACACUGUAAACGAUGAAUGCUAGGUGUAGGGGGUAUCGACCCCUUCUGUGCCGCAGUCAACACAAUAAGCAUUCCGCCUGGGGAGUACGGCCGCAAGGUUGAAACUCAAAGGAAUUGACGGGG